AGCUUGCCUCCUUAGUGGCGCAGCUAACGCAAUAAGUAGACCGCCUGGGGAGUACGGUCGCAAGAUUAAAACUCAAAUGAAUUGACGGGGGCCCGCACAAGCGGUGGAGCAUGUGGUUUAAUUCGAUGCAACGCGAAGAACCUUUCCAGGUCUUGACAUCCUGCGAACUUACUAGAGAUAGUUUGGUGCCUUCGGGAACGCAGUGACAGGUGCUGCAUGGCUGUCGUCAGCUCGUGUUGUGAAAUGUUGGGUUAAGUCCCGUAACGGGCGCAACCCUUGUCCUUAUUUGCCAGCACGUAAUGGUGGGAACUUUAAGGAGACUGCCGGUGACAAACCGGAGGAAGGUGGGGACGACGUCAAGUCAUCAUGGCCCUUACGACCUGGGCUACACACGUGCUACAAUGGCCGGUACAGAGGGUUGCAAAGCCGCGAGGUGGAGCCAAUCCCAGAAAGCCGGUCGUAGUUCGGAUUGGGGUCUGCAACUCGACUCCAUGAAGCCGGAAUCGCUAGUAAUCGCGAAUCAGAAUGUCGCGGUGAAUACGUUCCCGGGCCUUGUACACACCGCCCGUCACACCAUGGGAGUGGGUUGCAAAAGAAGUGGGUAGACUAACCUUCGGGAGGUCGCUCACCACUUUGUGAUUCAUGACUGGGGUGAAGUCGUAACAAGGUA
This 670-nucleotide ribosomal RNA is filed under the name uncultured bacterium. Its description in RNAcentral is "bacterial SSU rRNA". It matches the Rfam family "Bacterial small subunit ribosomal RNA", at positions 829 to 1498 of the family's 1533-position model. The record is from RNAcentral.